UGACUGCAUAUUUGAGUGUAUGAUUCAGAGUUCUAGCACAUCAAAUUACUCUCUUUAAUUAAAUCUUAGAAAAAACAGGAAAAAAGGAGAAAGCUCAUGAGAAGACAUCUGUCCCUGAAAUUAAAAAAGCAGAUAAAAAAGAAGCUGCUGUAUCCAAAGAACUCAAAAAGCCAGCAAAAGCUCCUGCAGCCAACCCAGCCAUCAAAAAAACAGCAGCACCAGAUCCACAGAAAAAAGAAAAAAUAAUGGAAUCUGGUG
Molecule: long non-coding RNA, 258 nt
Organism: Zonotrichia albicollis (white-throated sparrow)
Lineage: Eukaryota; Metazoa; Chordata; Aves; Passeriformes; Passerellidae
Source: Ensembl